GCCAAUAUGGCUCAGUCGGUAGAGCGACGCACUCGUAAUGCGUAGGUCAGGGGUUCGAAUCCCCUUAUUGGCU
RNAcentral lists this transfer RNA (73 nucleotides) under Roseburia sp. CAG:197. It matches the Rfam family "tRNA". Rfam says of the family: Transfer RNA (tRNA) molecules are approximately 80 nucleotides in length. Their secondary structure includes four short double-helical elements and three loops (D, anti-codon, and T loops). Lineage: Bacteria; Bacillati; Bacillota; Clostridia; Lachnospirales; Lachnospiraceae. The record is from Rfam by way of RNAcentral. RNAcentral also lists the same sequence under 5 other names.